GGGCCACACCCAAGGCUUAUGGAGGUUCCCAGGCUAGGGGUCAAAUCGGAUCUGUGGCUGCCGGUCUACACACAGCCACAGCAACUUGGGAUCUGAGCUGCAUAUGCAACGUACACCACAGCUCAGGGCAGUGCUGGAUCCUUAACCCACUGAGCGAGGCCAGGGAUUCAACCUGCAUCCUCAUGGAUCCCAGUCAGAUUUGUUUCCGCUGAGCCACGAUGGAAACUCCCCAAUGUCACUUUGUAAUACUUCCCCAGUACUUCAUGGCAGAGUUAGUUAUGCCAUCCUCUGUAAAUAAAUGAUCCUAUAUGAUUCUAAAAUUCCUCACUCUCAUCAAAAAAAUUGUUACACAUAAGGCAGUAUGAAUGUUUAUACAAUCUGGUUUAUGCAAAAUUUGCAAGUAUCAUCGGUUUCCCUGCACAGAUAAAGUAUUAACUGUUUCAUUCAUUCAUUACAUAAAUAUGAAGCACGUGCCAUAUGGUAAGGCAUGUUCUAGGUGCUAAGCAUAAAGCAGUAAGACAGAAGUCUCAGGAGUUCCCUUGUGGUCUAGUGGUUAGGAUUCAGAGCUUUUACUGCAACAGUCUGGGUUCAAUUUCUGGUCUGGGAACUGAGUGAGAUCCCACAUCGAGUGGCUGUAUGCCAUGGCCAAAAUAUGAAAACAGAAAAAGACAAAACAUCGUAAAUUUAUUGCAGAACUCAUUUACUAGAAAAGAUGGAAGACGAGAUUUGUUUUAAAUAAACACACACAAAAAAUAAUUCUUGAAUAAACGAAAAAAAUUUUAAAUCCCUUAAAGCUGAAAGGAAUUUUGCCCUUCUUCAUGCCCUUGUUAUCAACAUGCUUAUUGUUAUUAUAAGAACGGAGAGUGCAAUUGCAGUACGUCUUACCAAUCCAGGGGAAUUAGAGGGUAAGCAUAAAUUACCAAAAGUAUCUGCAUUUAAAGAAUUUUAGAGAAAAAUAAAAUUUUUAACCUUUAUAAGACAUGAACACCAAUUGCUAAAAAAACUGUUUCCACAAACAGGCACCACCAUACCUACUUUUUUUGAAAUGAGUAUAUGUUGGAAUUGGUAUUUAAGCAGAUGUUGUUCACUUUCUGUAGGCUUUUUUUUUUUUUUUUUUUUUUUUUGUCCUUUCAGGGCCACACCCCCUGCAUAUGGAAGUUUCUAGGUAGGGGUUGAAUCAGAGCUGCAGUCGCCAGUCUACACCACAGCCACAGCAACGCCAGAUCUGAGCCUUAUCUGCGACCUAAACCACAACUCAUGGCAACACCAGAUCCUUAAUCCGCUAAUUGAGGCCAGAGAUGGAACUCACAUCCUCAUGGAUACUAGUUGUUUGUUACUGCUGAGCCACAAUGGGAACUCCUCAAUAGGCUUUUUAAAAGUUUGUUUCUUCGAACUGGUUAUAUAACCCCCCCAGCAAUCCUGAGUAUGUUAAACCCAGCACCCUAAGCUUUUAAAUGCUCAAUAUACAUUUUUAGUGUAAUUGUUAUAGUACUGAUAUGCUUGAUCAACUGCUUUUUAUGGGAAGAUGUUCACAAAUCACCAAACAUUUUAAGUACCGGAGUAUGAGUUGAGAAGACUAUGUUAUGUCUACUCCUAAAGAAGAGGAAGCUAUCAGCACAGCUGAGUAAGAGAGCUGGAGUUCCCACCUCUCUUCCCACCCCAACAGGGGUUAAACUCACAUUCCAAAAGACUGGCUCUUCUGUAGGAUGCCUUAACCUCUGUUUCAGUCUCAGAAGCUCAGUCGUAGAAUUUUUGAGGACCAAAAGCCACCUUUCCCCCAAACACCAAAAGCAUUUUCACAAAAAUAUUCUUCUGCCACAUGCUCCCCUCUACUCCUCACACCCACCCCUCCCGGCUCACUCAUUCUCAGUACCCUGCUCAGGAGCCACCUCUUCUGAGAACAUUCGGUGGCACUCACCCCCACCAAGAUGGCGAGGCACCCUCCUAAACACUCUCAUAAUACUCCAUCCGUGUCCCCAUCACGGCACUGACACACUGAACUAGGACACUUUCCUUGUCUAUUCCCUCGGAAUACAAGUUCCUUGAGAUCAGGGUCUAUGAGGGGAUCACUGGUGUCUUCCCAGCCACCAUGGCAUGGAAGGCACACCACCGCUAGAGAAUCAAGGAAGAUCUUUCACUUGUCUUCUCCCCUCUUUACUUUUUAUUUAUUUAUUUGUUUGUCUGUCUGUUUGUUUGAGAAACAGGGUAGGAAAUUUCAAAUGCAAUGUAACUAAAAAUGCAGCAUUUCAUAAAUGAAAAAACUAGAUCCUUCACAUGAGGAGGUCAUAGGGAAAGCCUCAAAGGAACAAGCCCAGCUCUACAUCAAGACAUAUUUUUGGCUUAUUACUUAGAAUUCUUCCUAUUAAAAUUUAAUGCAGUCUUCUCUAGCAGUUCAUUUUGUCUGCCAAGUCCUUUAUGACUAUUUUGAUAAGUUAUUUAUUACCUAUGGAUGCCACAGUGAUAAGCAGAUAGCAUAAGCAAGAGCUCAGGGGACAGAGAGAAAGGGCCACGUCCACUCCUGAUCAGUUGAGGCUAAAUUGUUAGAUCCUAUGACAAGCCAUUAUCACCAAGCACUGGCCUGAAUGACAGAGCAUCCUGGUA
RNAcentral lists this long non-coding RNA (2601 nucleotides) under Sus scrofa (pig). RNAcentral describes it as "lncRNA (ENSSSCG00050010281.1)". Lineage: Eukaryota; Metazoa; Chordata; Mammalia; Artiodactyla; Suidae. The record is from RNAcentral.